AUCUCGCGAGAGAGGACGGAAGCCUGUGGGAGCCCGUGGCCUUUAAAGUACGGUUCAGCCCUUUCCUCCAGGGGUAGUUUGUAAACACCGGGCUCCGGGGCAGCCGAGGGGCGCAUGAAUUAGUGACCUGGAAAGGAAGACUUAGAUGGAAAUGUAAGAAGCACUGCUUACUUGAUAAGAGUUGAGGGAUUCCUGGCAGCUGAGUAAAUAAAGCUCAUGGCCCACCAGCUAGAAAGGGAUUCAUGGAUUCCUUUUUUGUUUGAGUUAAUGAUCCAUUAUUUUGAUUCUGAGAUUGUCCCAGAUUUGUCAACUUUCUGGUCAAAUCAAAUCCUUGCCAUGAAAGAAAGGAUGUGAUAGGUUGUUCGACUUAUGAAAUUCAAGUUACGUGUGAAUUCUGCCAGGUAUGUAUGUAAUAUUUGUUACUUUGAACUAUUUUUCAUGUUUUAAGUUAUAAAAAUUUUCAUAGGUUGUUUCUAGAUACGUACUUCUCAGUUUUCUUUUCCAUAAAUAAGAAAACACGUAGUUUAUCUGAUGUUCCCAUUAUGUUUUUAAAGUAUCAAGUAGAGCAUCAGAAUACACUUUACUAUGCCUUGAAUUAUCCCAGAGUGAGUGCCAAAUAAUACUAGUCCCAUGUGAUGUUCUGUGAAAAAAGGGCUCAGAUA
This is a long non-coding RNA of Trichechus manatus latirostris (Florida manatee), 662 nucleotides long. RefSeq lists it as uncharacterized. NCBI's taxonomy places the organism in Eukaryota, Metazoa, Chordata, Mammalia, Sirenia, Trichechidae. The record is from RefSeq and is a predicted model, not a curated record. The transcript has 4 exons.